This 253-nucleotide ribosomal RNA is filed under the name uncultured bacterium. RNAcentral describes it as "partial 16S ribosomal RNA". It matches the Rfam family "Bacterial small subunit ribosomal RNA", at positions 524 to 776 of the family's 1533-position model. The record is from RNAcentral.
UACGUAGGUGGCAAGCGUUGUCCGGAUUUAUUGGGUUUAAAGGGUGCGUAGGCGGCUUUGUAAGUCAGUGGUGAAAUAUGGCAGCUUAACUGUCAAGGUGCCAUUGAUACUGCGGAGCUUGAGUACAGAUGAGGUAGGCGGAAUUGACGGUGUAGCGGUGAAAUGCGUAGAUAUCGGAAGGAACAUCAGUGGCGAAAGCGACUUCCUGGACCAAUACUGACGCUCAUGUGCGAAAGCGUGGGGAGCAAACAGG